GGCUACCUGUGUGUGUUAUCUUUGGGAAAAAUAUAGUCCCCUGUGUAUGUGGGUGCCCACCAGGUUAAAUUCUUGGCAAAAAGAUCAUAAACUGGUACUGGUAAUGUGUUAAAUUGACAAGCUAAUUUAACAUCCUUUGAUGAUGUAUGAUAUAAUGUAAAAUAGCAUGAGCAUGAAAAAUGUGAAACAUUACCAGUUAACCAUCCAUUGCAUUUAAUGGAUUGGGGUUUUAGAAGUAAC
Molecule: non-coding RNA, 240 nt
Organism: Pelobates cultripes (western spadefoot toad)
Lineage: Eukaryota; Metazoa; Chordata; Amphibia; Anura; Pelobatidae
Source: the annotation of a GenBank genome assembly